Molecule: ribosomal RNA, 408 nt
Filed under: Triticum aestivum (bread wheat)
Lineage: Eukaryota; Viridiplantae; Streptophyta; Magnoliopsida; Poales; Poaceae
Description: partial small subunit ribosomal RNA
Source: RNAcentral
AUGGCCGGAGGAGCUCGCGGGCAUGGGGGUGCAGCGGGUCGCCGCCGCACGAGCGCGCCCGACACGACGCGGAGGCCAGCAGUUCCAGCUGGGCCGGCGUUGAGCGAUGGUUUUCAAAGCAGGUGUGUGACCGUGGCUGCCUCUCUCGCAACGGCGGCUGGAACACGUGAGCCCACUUCCAAAAGCUCAACGAGGCUCCCUACCGCGCACCAAGAGGUGCCGGGAAAGUGGAUGAGGAGCUCCUCAAUACCAAGCGUACAGUGGUGUCAGGAGAAGAAGGCGUUGCCGAGCGUAUCGCUGCUGUCAAGGAAGGGCACGCGUAUGCCCAUGCUUACUGGAGCUCGGCAGACGCGUUCUACCUUGGCGUUGAGUCAUGAGCCGACCAUCCCUAGGUUUAGAUUAGUUUGA